GGGAAGACUGGAGGGGUCUGUGUGAGAGACACGCUUCCUGAUACAAACACUGAACAAUUUGCAUGAACGAUUUGACACUACAAACAUCUAUAUCGUCCAAAUUGGCUUACAAUGAUAAACGAUGAUAGACCAAAGGUGAACGACUAAAGUAUUUUUAGGCAUUUUGUACGUGACAGUUGCUCUCUAUUGCUAAUGUGCCUUGGGUGAAGAAGAAAAUAGCAAAUUUCAUAUUGGAGCCAGAGUUGCGUAAGGUCACGGGACCAUCUGUAUCCAGAGUCUCCAGUUCUUGUGGAAGAGGAGGCCCAGGAGAGUCUGGAUCUGGAACUUAUCCCGGAGCUGGGAGGAGGAGCUUACCACAGACCAAGGACAGAAGUGGAUGAGCCGGUGGUGGUGCAAACCCCACAGCCACGUCCUGCAAGACCAAGGCGGACGGCGAGGAAGGCCACUUCUGCCUCCUAUUGCUCCCAGCAGUUUUUCCAACAUGCUGAGGAGGUUCUGCAUAGGCCCCGGGACGUGGAUCAACAAUUCUGCAAUUAUAUUGCAGCGGAGAUGUGUUUGAUGACCGAGGAACAAAAGAUGAACUAGAAAGGGUUAGUCUAUGAGGCUACCUCACGCGCCAGGCACCAAAAACUGGAGCCGACGUGUGAGAUAGUGCCGGCUGAUCGUUGGCAUCUCCCAAAUUUGCCUCCUCCCACCUUCCCAUACCACCCCCCCUUUCCUCAUGGAGCAUGCGCCGGAAAACCCUCCUACGCAAACGUAAAUUUUUUCGGCAGGAGCCACACAGCCCAGCCCCUCCAUCCAAAUAAGCAGCUCGUCCAGUAGCAUGUACUCUGACAUGUCGAGUACACAGUCCUCUGUGCUGGGCAACCCUCGUUAUUUUAAUUUAUGAUUAGUUUUUUGUACACGCUUUUUUAGUUUUGUUGGAAAAAUCUGCUGAUGACCUUAUCCGACGCUCUUGCUCCAAGUGUCAUUGUCCCGCACUACUGAUCGUUGUGAUCAAUGCACUUUGUGUUCCUUCAAAACUGUUUGGAAAUUUGCUGUUGUUCUUCUUUACCCAAGGCAAAUUCGCACUGUGUUUGCCUCUACUGUACUGGUGUGUGGAAUAUGUCAGAUUUCUGUUCUAUUGGCAUCGUACCUGUAAAAAGGCACUCGUUCUCAUGGUACAAUGUCUGAAUCCUGGCCAGAAUUGGCGU
Molecule: long non-coding RNA, 1193 nt
Organism: Pseudophryne corroboree (corroboree frog)
Lineage: Eukaryota; Metazoa; Chordata; Amphibia; Anura; Myobatrachidae
Exons: 4
Source: RefSeq, a predicted model, not a curated record